AACGAACGCUGGCGGCGUGGAUAAGACAUGCAAGUCGAACGGGACACCAUGAGUAGCAAUACAAGUGGUGUCUAGUGGCGAACGGGUGCGUAACACGUGGAUACAUUCCGGGAAGCGGGGGAUAGCCCAGGGAAACUUGGAUUAAUACCGCAUGUGGUCGAAAGACUAAAGGCAGGGACCGCAAGGCCUGCCACUUCCCGAUUGGUCCGCGGCCUAUCAGCUAGUUGGCGGGGUAAAGCCCACCAAGGCUACGACGGGUAGCUGGUCUUAGAGGACGACCAGCCACACUGGAACUGAGACACGGUCCAGACACCUACGGGUGGCAGCAGUCGAGAAUCUUUCACAAUGGGGGCAACCCUGAUGGAGCGACGCCGCGUGGAGGAUAAGGUCUUCGGAUUGUAAACUCCUGUCAUGUGUGAACAAGGUUGUCGUGUUAAUAGCAUUGGCAAAUUGAUGGUAACACAAGAGAAGAGACGGAUAACUC
RNAcentral lists this ribosomal RNA (484 nucleotides) under uncultured bacterium. Its description in RNAcentral is "bacterial SSU rRNA". It matches the Rfam family "Bacterial small subunit ribosomal RNA", at positions 29 to 503 of the family's 1533-position model. The record is from RNAcentral.